UAUCACGUAUCUAGAGUCUAGACUAGUUAGCUACUCUGGAUUCUCAGUGCGCAAUUUUAUCAUGGUCAUUCUAUCCUUUAUCCUUUUACUUCAGUUAAGUCCCAAGAUAAGUCAUUGUGCUAAUAUAACAGUACAGCCAGUGUCUAUUAAUACAACACUCAACUCUACUGUUGUCUUCUCUUGUGAAGGAA
This is a long non-coding RNA of Amphimedon queenslandica, 191 nucleotides long. RefSeq lists it as uncharacterized. The record is from RefSeq and is a predicted model, not a curated record. NCBI's taxonomy places the organism in Eukaryota, Metazoa, Porifera, Demospongiae, Haplosclerida, Niphatidae. The transcript is spliced from 2 exons.